Non-coding RNA from Rattus norvegicus (Norway rat), 69 nucleotides. NCBI's taxonomy places the organism in Eukaryota, Metazoa, Chordata, Mammalia, Rodentia, Muridae. The record is from Rfam.
GGGGCUUUAGCUCAGUGGUAGAGCGCUUGCCUAGGAAGCGCAAGGCCCUGGGUUCGGUCCCCAGCUCCG